GGCUGAAAUUCGCCCUCCAUGAAGCUGGAAUUGCUAGUAAUGGCAGGUCAGCAUACUGCCGUGAAUACGUUCCCGGGCCUUGUACACACCGCCCGUCACACCAUGAGAGUUGGGAAUACCCGAAGCCUGUGAGCUAACUUAUAGAGGCAGCAGUCGAAGGUAGAAUCAAUGAUUGGGGUGAAGUCGUAACAAGGUAUC
RNAcentral lists this ribosomal RNA (198 nucleotides) under uncultured bacterium. RNAcentral's name for it is "partial 16S ribosomal RNA". It matches the Rfam family "Bacterial small subunit ribosomal RNA", at positions 1303 to 1500 of the family's 1533-position model. The record is from RNAcentral.